AGAGAGAGACAUGCGCGCAUAUCAAUAAGCGGAGGAAAAGAAACUAACAAGGAUUCCCUUAGUAACGGCGAGUGAAGCGGGAAGAGCUCAAAUUUGAAAUCUUCAAGGUUUUACCUUGACGAAUUGUAGUUUAAAGAAGUGUUUUCUGCUGAAGUUUUGGUAAAAGUUCUUUGGAAUAGGACAUCAUAGAGGGUGAGAAUCCCGUAUUUGACCAUUAUUUUCAGCUUUGUGAUACACUUUCAAAGAGUCGGAUUGUUUGGGAAUGCAGUCCAAAAUGGGUGGUAAAUUUCAUCUAAAGCUAAAUAUUGGCGAGAGACCGAUAGCGAACAAGUACCGUGAGGGAAAGAUGAAAAGAACUUUGAAAAGAGAGUUAAACAGUACGUGAAAUUGUCAAAAGGGAAGCGUUUGACACCAGUGUUGUUUUCUCGAAAAUCAAUUAAAAAUGGCUCGAUUUUGUAUUGCUGAGACCUUAAAAGCUCACUGUACAUUUUUCGUGUCCUUUUUUAAUGCACUUUUCGUUUAACAAGUCAACAUCAGUUUCUUUUGUUGUAAAAGGGUCAUUGGAAGGUGGCUUUCUUUUCGGAGAAAGUGUUUAUAGCCUUUGGCCUCUGCAAUCGGAGAGACUGAGGUCUGCAGCGUAGACUCUUCGGGGUUAGAUACAUUUGUGCUAAGUUAUAGCCUUUUCAUAGACAACUUGUUGACUAUAAUCAGUCAUGUAGCUUACUCGCUUAUGCUAUUUUACCUACGCUUAGGAUGUUGAGUCGUAGAGCACGCAG
This 776-nucleotide ribosomal RNA is filed under the name uncultured Neocallimastigales. RNAcentral describes it as "partial large subunit ribosomal RNA". It matches the Rfam family "Eukaryotic large subunit ribosomal RNA", at positions 23 to 634 of the family's 3401-position model. Lineage: Eukaryota; Fungi; Neocallimastigomycota; Neocallimastigomycetes; Neocallimastigales. The record is from RNAcentral.